AUUUAAUAAGAGAAGGUGAAAUACAUUUUCUCCUAGCUCCUCAGCCAUCUGCCAGACUUUUAAGAAUGAAAAUAUGCAUUUGGCCGUAGGAAAUAUAAUAACAAUUGACACACCAGAAAAUACUCGACAAUAGAAAUGCAUGCUAUUUUUUAUUUUUCUAAUCACAUAAGGGGUGAGUGAACAGAAAAGCAGGUCCUAGUGUGUCUCAACACCAGUAGUAUCCAAGGAAGAAAUGGCAACUGCAGCAUGGAGUGCAGCUCCAAUGGGAAGGACUUCCUCAUCAAGAAAAAAAUAUGGUGUGUGCAGUCUCUUAACUGAUUUUUCAUUUUUGUUCCGUACUCCGAUA
This 346-nucleotide unclassified non-coding RNA is filed under the name Hevea brasiliensis (rubber tree). The record is from RNAcentral. Lineage: Eukaryota; Viridiplantae; Streptophyta; Magnoliopsida; Malpighiales; Euphorbiaceae.